RNAcentral lists this ribosomal RNA (240 nucleotides) under uncultured bacterium. RNAcentral's name for it is "partial 16S ribosomal RNA". It matches the Rfam family "Bacterial small subunit ribosomal RNA", at positions 15 to 236 of the family's 1533-position model. The record is from RNAcentral.
GAUCAUGGCUCAGGAUGAACGCUGGCGGCGUGCCUAACACAUGCAAGUCGAGCGAAGCGGUUUUAAGGAAGUUUUCGGAUGGAAUUAAAACUGACUGAGCGGCGGACGGGUGAGUAACGCGUGGGUAACCUGCCUCAUACAGGGGGGAUAACAGUUAGAAAUGGCUGCUAAUACCGCAUAAGCACACAGCUUCGCGUGGAGCAGUGUGAAAAACUCCGGUGGUAUGAGAUGGACCCGCGU